This 324-nucleotide ribosomal RNA is filed under the name uncultured eukaryote. RNAcentral's name for it is "partial 18S ribosomal RNA". It matches the Rfam family "Eukaryotic small subunit ribosomal RNA", at positions 1470 to 1796 of the family's 1831-position model. The record is from RNAcentral.
CCCUUAGAUGUUCUGGGCUGCACGCGCGCUACACUGAUGCGCUCAACGAGUUUAUGAACUUGCCCGGAAGGGUUGGUUAAUCUUUUUAAAACGCAUCGUGAUGGGGAUAGAUUAUUGCAAUUAUUAAUCUUCAACGAGGAAUUCCUAGUAAGCGCGAGUCAUCAGCUCGUGCUGAUUACGUCCCUGCCCUUUGUACACACCGCCCGUCGCUCCUACCGAUUGAAUGUUCCGGUGAGCUCUUCGGACUGCGCGGUCUGCAGUUUCUGCGUUCCGUGCGGAAAGUUGCGCAAACCUUAACAUUUAGAGGAAGGAGAAGUCGUAACA